RNAcentral lists this ribosomal RNA (246 nucleotides) under uncultured Gardnerella sp. RNAcentral's name for it is "partial 16S ribosomal RNA". It matches the Rfam family "Bacterial small subunit ribosomal RNA", at positions 109 to 355 of the family's 1533-position model. The record is from RNAcentral. Lineage: Bacteria; Bacillati; Actinomycetota; Actinomycetes; Bifidobacteriales; Bifidobacteriaceae.
AGUAAUGCGUGACCAACCUGCCCCAUGCUCCAGAAUAGCUCUUGGAAACGGGUGGUAAUGCUGGAUGCUCCAACUUGACGCAUGUCUUGUUGGGAAAGUGUUUAGUGGCAUGGGAUGGGGGCGCGUCCUAUCAGCUUGUAGGCGGGGUAAUGGCCCACCUAGGCUUCGACGGGUAGCCGGCCUGAGAGGGCGGACGGCCACAUUGGGACUGAGAUACGGCCCAGACUCCUACGGGAGGCAGCAGCU